GUCUUAUAAAAUUUUAUUUAUUUUUUAAUAGUAUUUGAGAACUUUAACUGGUCAAUGAUAAAGCUAUGAAAAAUCAAGAGAGAACAUUUUCCCGCCAAAAUUCCAAUGGCUAAUAUCUCGAAAACAACCACAUUGACCCCUAUCAUUUUUUGGCUUUUUUGAUUCCUCAAUUAAUUCCCUAUCAAUACAUACUAGUUUUAUGAAAAGUUAUUUAUUUUGAAACUGAGCAGCGAAC
RNAcentral lists this long non-coding RNA (235 nucleotides) under Mytilus galloprovincialis (Mediterranean mussel). Lineage: Eukaryota; Metazoa; Mollusca; Bivalvia; Mytilida; Mytilidae. The record is from RNAcentral.